CUCAAGAGAAGUGUGUCAAGUCGUCAUUACAAAUAGAUAAAGCUUCAUGACGUUUCCACUGAAGCUGACACCAUUCACUGGCUACCCUCAUGCUCCUUGUAUGCAUCAGCAGCAGCAGCAGCAGGCCCCGCGCCGUCACCGGGGGUGACGAUGUGGUUGCCGCGGCGAUGGGGAGCGUCGCGCGAGAGGGC
Petromyzon marinus (sea lamprey) is the source of this 191-nucleotide long non-coding RNA. RefSeq lists it as uncharacterized. NCBI's taxonomy places the organism in Eukaryota, Metazoa, Chordata, Hyperoartia, Petromyzontiformes, Petromyzontidae. The record is from RefSeq and is a predicted model, not a curated record.